Halichondria panicea is the source of this 457-nucleotide long non-coding RNA. RefSeq lists it as uncharacterized. Lineage: Eukaryota; Metazoa; Porifera; Demospongiae; Suberitida; Halichondriidae. The transcript has 5 exons. The record is from RefSeq and is a predicted model, not a curated record.
AUGCACUGAACAAUGACAACGAUACUCCACUCCGCGAUGCAUGCUAUUGGGGUAAACUAGAUGUGGUGCAGUACUUGGUGGAGGAGGCCCACUGUGACAUCAAUGCACCAGCGAACAAGUACAACAGUACUCCACUCCACAUUGCAUGCUCUCGUGGUCACCAAGAUGUGGUGCAGUACUUGGUGGAGGAGGCCCACUGUGACAUUAAUGUACGGAACGACAACAAAGAGACUGUACUUCAUGUAGCCUGUGGUAUCUACCUAUCUACAAUUUAUGCGGCAUGGCGGCAUUCCAGUGAGCUUGCAGUGGUGCAGUACUUGGUUGAGAAGGCUAACUGUGACAUCAAUGCAACUGAUGAUCAAGGCAGGACACCACUUGACUUAGCUAAAGAGAGUCAUGACAAGGUCAUUGUUGACUACCUCAAGACUCGACAAGAAUCAUCUAGACAAUCAGGCAA